AACGUAGGACGCAAGCGUUAUCCGGAGUUACUGGGCGUAAAGCGCGGGCAGGCGGCUCGAAACGUCUGAUGUGAAAUCUCCUCGCUCAACGGGGAGAGGCCAUUGGAAACGGUCGAGCUGGAGGGCAGUAGAGGUAGGCGGAAUUCCGGGUGGAGUGGUGAAAUGCGUAGAGAUCCGGAGGAACACCAGAGGCGAAGGCGGCUCUUUGGUCUGUAACUGACGCUGAGGCGCGAAAGCGUGGGGAGCAAACAGG
Molecule: ribosomal RNA, 253 nt
Filed under: uncultured bacterium
Lineage: Bacteria
Description: partial 16S ribosomal RNA
Rfam family: Bacterial small subunit ribosomal RNA
Source: RNAcentral